RNAcentral lists this ribosomal RNA (493 nucleotides) under uncultured bacterium. RNAcentral describes it as "partial 16S ribosomal RNA". It matches the Rfam family "Bacterial small subunit ribosomal RNA", at positions 30 to 523 of the family's 1533-position model. The record is from RNAcentral.
AUUGAACGCUGGCGGCGUGCCUUACACAUGCAAGUCGAACGGUAACAGGUUAAGCUGACGAGUGGCGAACGGGUGAGUAAUGUAUCGGAACGUGCCCAGUCGUGGGGGAUAACUGCUCGAAAGAGCAGCUAAUACCGCAUACGACCUGAGGGUGAAAGCGGGGGAUCGCAAGACCUCGCGCGAUUGGAGCGGCCGAUAUCAGAUUAGGUAGUUGGUGAGGUAAAGGCUCACCAAGCCGACGAUCUGUAGCUGGUCUGAGAGGACGACCAGCCACACUGGGACUGAGACACGGCCCAGACUCCUACGGGAGGCAGCAGUGGGGAAUUUUGGACAAUGGGCGCAAGCCUGAUCCAGCCAUGCCGCGUGCGGGAAGAAGGCCUUCGGGUUGUAAACCGCCUUUGUCAGGGAAGAAAAGGUUCUGGCUAAUACCUGGGACUCAUGACGGUACCUGAAGAAUAAGCACCGGCUAACUACGUGCCAGCCGCCGCAGUAA